GUAAGAUUAGUUUAAAUGGCAAAACACCGUCUUGUGGCGACGUAAUUAAGAGUUCAAAUCUCUUAUUUUACC
This 72-nucleotide transfer RNA is filed under the name Desarmillaria tabescens. RNAcentral's name for it is "tRNA-His". It matches the Rfam family "tRNA". From Rfam's summary of the family: Transfer RNA (tRNA) molecules are approximately 80 nucleotides in length. The record is from RNAcentral. Lineage: Eukaryota; Fungi; Basidiomycota; Agaricomycetes; Agaricales; Physalacriaceae.